This 253-nucleotide ribosomal RNA is filed under the name uncultured bacterium. RNAcentral describes it as "partial 16S ribosomal RNA". It matches the Rfam family "Bacterial small subunit ribosomal RNA", at positions 524 to 776 of the family's 1533-position model. The record is from RNAcentral.
UACAGAGGGUGCGAGCGUUAAUCGGAAUUACUGGGCGUAAAGCGCACGUAGGCGGCUUGGUAUGUCGGGUGUGAAAUCCCCGGGCUCAACCUGGGAACUGCAUCCGAAACUGCCUGGCUAGAGUAUGGGAGAGGGAAGUGGAAUUCCCAGUGUAGCGGUGAAAUGCGUAGAUAUUGGGAGGAACACCAGUGGCGAAGGCGGCUCGCUGGACCGGUUCUGACGCUGAGGCGCGAAAGCGUGGGGAGCAAACAGG